Non-coding RNA from Rattus norvegicus (Norway rat), 63 nucleotides. Lineage: Eukaryota; Metazoa; Chordata; Mammalia; Rodentia; Muridae. The record is from Rfam.
GGGGAUUUAGCUCAGUGGUAGAGCCCUUGCCUAGGAAGCGCAAGGUCCUGGGUUCAGUCCCCA